Molecule: ribosomal RNA, 497 nt
Filed under: uncultured bacterium
Lineage: Bacteria
Description: partial 16S ribosomal RNA
Rfam family: Bacterial small subunit ribosomal RNA
Source: RNAcentral
GAUGAACGCUGGCGGCGUGCCUAAUACAUGCAAGUCGAGCGAACGGACGAGAAUCUUGCUGCUCUGGUGUUAGCGGCGGGCGGGUGAGUAACACGUGGAUAACCUACCUAUAAGACUUGGCUAAAGGCGAGAAACCGUAGCUAAGACCGGAUAAUCUUUUUAACCGCAUGGGUCAAGAGUGAAAGACGGUCUGGCUGUCGCUUAGAGAUGGAUCCGCGCUGCAUUAGCUAGUUGGUAAGGUAACGGCUUACCAAGGCAACGAUGCCUAGCCGACCUGAGAGGGGGAUCGGCCACUGUGGAACUGAGCCACGGCACAGACUCCGACGGGCGGCACAGGUAGGGACUCUUCCGAACUGGGGGAAAUCCUGCAGGAGCAACGGCGGGCUAGUGCUGCAGGUCUUUGGAUCGUAAAACUCUGUUCUUAGGGUAGACCACAUGUGUAAGUAACUGUGCACAGCUUGACGGUACCUAAUCAGAAAGCAACGGCUAACUACGUG